This 443-nucleotide ribosomal RNA is filed under the name uncultured bacterium. RNAcentral's name for it is "partial 16S ribosomal RNA". It matches the Rfam family "Bacterial small subunit ribosomal RNA", at positions 338 to 795 of the family's 1533-position model. The record is from RNAcentral.
CCUACGGGAGGCAGCAGUGGGGAAUAUUGGGCAAUGGAGGCAACUCUGACCCAGCAACGCCGCGUGAAUGAUGAAGGUCUUCGGAUUGUAAAGUUCUGUGAUGGGGGAUGAACACAAUGACGGUACCCCAAUAGCAAGCCACGGCUAACUACGUGCCAGCAGCCGCGGUAAUACGUAGGUGGCAAGCGUUAUCCGGAAUGACUGGGCGUAAAGGGUGCGUAGGUGGUUUAGUAAGUUGGCGGUGUAAUUCCGGGGCUCAACCUCGGCGCUACCGCAAAAACUAUUAGACUAGAGUGCAGGGGGGGUAAGUGGAAUUCCUAGUGUAGCGGUGGAAUGCGUAGAUAUUAGGAGGAAAAUCAGGGGCGAAGGCGACUUACUGGACUGUAACUGACACUGAGGCACGAAAGCGUGGGGAGCAAACAGGAUUAGAUACCCUAGUAGUC